This is a long non-coding RNA of Podarcis raffonei (Aeolian wall lizard), 367 nucleotides long. RefSeq lists it as uncharacterized. The transcript has 2 exons. The record is from RefSeq and is a predicted model, not a curated record. NCBI's taxonomy places the organism in Eukaryota, Metazoa, Chordata, Lepidosauria, Squamata, Lacertidae.
UUGCGGAAGCAGGAAGAAGUCAGUUGGAAGCCAAAGAGAGAAGGAAAGAGGCUUGUCAGCUGGUGACCGUCCCCUGGUUAACUACUAACUAACAAAACCUUGCCAGCAUUAUUGAGCAGACAUUAUUCACUGAUGAUGGGUCUCUGUGUGUGGCAGAAGGCAUCACCUGGUAAGAAACAUCCUCUCUGGGGGACACAUGCCACUCUUAAGAAUCAUAGAGUUGGAAGAGAUCACGAGGAGCAUCUAGUCCAACCCCCUGCAAUGAAGGAAUCUUUUGUCCCAUUUUGGGCUCGAACCCAUGAACCAGGGAUUAAUAUUCUCAUGCUCUACCAAGCUAUCCCUUGCAUAAAAUUAUCACUGCAAACCA